GACGAACGCUGGCGGCGUGCUUAACACAUGCAAGUCGAACGGAAAGGCCCUGCUUUUGUGGGGUGCUCGAGUGGCGAACGGGUGAGUAACACGUGAGUAACCUGCCCUUGACUUUGGGAUAACUUCAGGAAACUGGGGCUAAUACCGGAUAGGAGCUCCUGCUGCAUGGUGGGGGUUGGAAAGUUUCGGCGGUUGGGGAUGGACUCGCGGCUUAUCAGCUUGUUGGUGGGGUAGUGGCUUACCAAGGCUUUGACGGGUAGCCGGCCUGAGAGGGUGACCGGCCACAUGGGGACUGAGAUACGGCCCAGACGCCUACGGGAGGCAGAAGUGGGGAAUAUUGCACAAUGGGCGGAAGCCUGAUGCAGCAACGCCGCGUGCGGGAUGACGGCCUUCGGGUUGUAAACCGCUUUCGCCUGUGACGAAGCGUGAGUGACGGUAAUGGGUAAAGAAGCACCGGCUAACUACGUG
RNAcentral lists this ribosomal RNA (468 nucleotides) under uncultured bacterium. RNAcentral describes it as "partial 16S ribosomal RNA". It matches the Rfam family "Bacterial small subunit ribosomal RNA", at positions 28 to 507 of the family's 1533-position model. The record is from RNAcentral.